GGGGGUAUAGCUCAGUGAUAGAGCAAGUGUUUAGCAUGCACGAGGUCCUGGAUUCAAUCCCCAGUACCCCUA
This 72-nucleotide transfer RNA is filed under the name Camelus bactrianus (Bactrian camel). It matches the Rfam family "tRNA". Rfam says of the family: Transfer RNA (tRNA) molecules are approximately 80 nucleotides in length. Lineage: Eukaryota; Metazoa; Chordata; Mammalia; Artiodactyla; Camelidae. The record is from Rfam by way of RNAcentral. RNAcentral also lists the same sequence under 3 other names.